UACAGAGGGUGCGAGCGUUAAUCGGAAUUACUGGGCGUAAAGCGUGCGUAGACGGUAGCGUAAGUCAGAUGUGAAAGCCCCGGGCUCAACCUGGGAAUGGCGUUUGAAACUGGCAGGCUAGAGUUUGGCAGAGGGGGGUGGAAUUCCACGUGUAGCAGUGAAAUGCGUAGAGAUGUGGAGGAACACCGAUGGCGAAGGCAGCCCCCUGGGCCAAAACUGACGCUCAGGCACGAAAGCGUGGGGAGCAAACAGG
This 253-nucleotide ribosomal RNA is filed under the name uncultured bacterium. RNAcentral's name for it is "partial 16S ribosomal RNA". It matches the Rfam family "Bacterial small subunit ribosomal RNA", at positions 524 to 776 of the family's 1533-position model. The record is from RNAcentral.